RNAcentral lists this ribosomal RNA (350 nucleotides) under uncultured eukaryote. Its description in RNAcentral is "SSU rRNA". It matches the Rfam family "Eukaryotic small subunit ribosomal RNA", at positions 567 to 919 of the family's 1831-position model. The record is from RNAcentral.
CCAGCAGCUGCGGUAAUUCCAGCUCCAAUAGCGUAUACUAAAGUUGUUGCAGUUAAAAAGCUCGUAGUUGAAUUUCUGGUCGUGGCGAUCGGUCCGCCCCUCACGGGGUGUGUACCUGGUCACUACGUCCAUCCUCGGGGAGAGCAUAUCUGGCAUUUAGUUGUCGGGUGUGGGAUCCUCGUCAUUUACUGUGAGCAAAAUAGAGUGUUCAAAGCAGGCUUAGGCCGUUGAAUACAUUAGCAUGGAAUAAUAAGAUAGGACCUUGGUCUAUUUUGUUGGUUUGCAUUCCAAGGUAAUGAUUAAUAGGGACAGUUGGGGGUAUUCGUAUUCAAUUGUCAGAGGUGAAAUUC